CGUACUCAGUUCGGAUUGUAGUCUGCAACUCGACUACAUGAAGCUGGAAUCGCUAGUAAUCGCGAAUCAGCAUGUCGCGGUGAAUACGUUCCCGGGUCUUGUACACACCGCCCGUCACACCAUGAGAGUUGGAGAUACCCGAAGCCUGUGAGCCAACUAUAUAGAGGCAGCAGUCGAAGGUAGAAUCAAUGAUUGGGGUGAAGUCGUAACAAGGUAUC
Molecule: ribosomal RNA, 218 nt
Filed under: uncultured bacterium
Lineage: Bacteria
Description: partial 16S ribosomal RNA
Rfam family: Bacterial small subunit ribosomal RNA
Source: RNAcentral